This 481-nucleotide ribosomal RNA is filed under the name uncultured Pseudomonadota bacterium. RNAcentral's name for it is "bacterial SSU rRNA". It matches the Rfam family "Bacterial small subunit ribosomal RNA", at positions 29 to 524 of the family's 1533-position model. The record is from RNAcentral. Lineage: Bacteria; Pseudomonadati; Pseudomonadota.
GCUAACGCUGGCGGCGUGCCUAAUACAUGCAAGUCGAACGAGGAAAGCACUUCGGUGUGAGUAUGAGUGGCGCACGGGUGAGUAACGCGUGGAUAAUCUGCCCUUUAGCGGGGAAUAACUUACCGAAAGGUAAGCUAAUACCGCAUAAGACCACAGUUUCUGAGGAAACAGGGGUUAAAGAUUUAUCACUAAAGGAUGAGUCCGCGUAAGAUUAGUUAGUUGGUGGGGUAAUGGCCUACCAAGACUUCGAUCUUUAGCUGGUCUGAGAGGAUGACCAGCCACACUGGAACUGAGACACGGUCCAGACUCCUACGGGAGGCAGCAGUGGGGAAUUUUCCGCAAUGGGCGAAAGCCUGACGGAGCAAUACCGCGUGAGGGACGAAGGCUUUUUGGGGUCGUAAACCUCUUUUAUUAGGGAAGAUUUCAGGACGGUACCUAAUGAAUAAGCAUCGGCUAACUCUGUGCCAGCAGCCGCGGUAAU